UCAAUUGGCCUCUUGGGGUGAUAUUUUUUGCACUAAUUUAAGGAAUCAGGUAAGCAUUCACCUUACAAGUCAUAAUAACUUUUCCGUAAAAUGGUCCAUCUGUUAAGGCCUCCUUUGAUUUACAGGGUUUGCAUAGGAAUUUUACAGGAUUGACACCCUCUGGAAUUUUCCCUUUACAUGUUGUUUGAUUCUUAGGAUUGCAUUCCUCAGGAACCAAUCCUAUAGGAACUUCUUAGUUCAUUUUUACAGGAAAACAAGCAUGAGGUUGGACUUCUUGGAAAAAAUCCUCUGUUUUGCUACCCAACGUAGGAUUUCAGUGGACGGUACAUCCUAUUCUUGUAUGUUCCCUAUUCCUGCGCUUCCUAAACCCUGUGAAUCAAAGGAGCCCUAAGUUUCUCAGCAAAGCGCACCACAAAUGUGACCAGAGCACUUCACAAUGGUCAUGGAAUUACAGUAACUAUUGGGUUAGUGAUUAUUUAUGUUGACACCCUUCUGUUCGUUGUCAAGCAAUUCAGUAUUGGUGUUGAUGGACUUUUCUCUUUGGAUUGACAUCAAUACGGGGCAAUAUGAUUUAACGGUGAAGGAUGUGAGGCUAUGGUUAGGACAUGUGUACUAUGUAAUGGUUGGUUUGGCAUAAUAAUAAUAAUUCAUCUUUCCAUGUACUCUAUUGCCUGGUUUGAAGUUCAUUUUGAAUCAUGUGAUGUUUCGCCGUAGAAUUCAUCUAUCGAUGCUCUAUACUUUGAACUGUGUAUAUUUUCUUAGCAAUUUGUACAACACCUAGGCAAAUAUAAGAUCUAUGUUUCAUGUCUCCAUAUAUAUAUAUAUAUAUAUACAAGGAAUGUCUUAUCACUCUUAUCGUAUAGAACUACACUAGCACGAAGAAGGUCCACAACCAGUUCAAUACAAUAAAAGGCCCAAUAACUACUGGUAAAUUAUAAUUCAUAUCUUAAAGUUGAAAUUACUCAGAAGUAUAUAAUACUGCCACUACAUCAACUUUAAGUAAAAAACCUCCACAUAUGCGUCAAACCCAAACAUUAUAUAUUAAAAGGGACAGGCGCGGCAACGCGCGCCACCAAUGAUCUAGUA
Molecule: long non-coding RNA, 1086 nt
Filed under: Triticum aestivum (bread wheat)
Lineage: Eukaryota; Viridiplantae; Streptophyta; Magnoliopsida; Poales; Poaceae
Description: long non-coding RNA (TAES_LNC002355)
Source: RNAcentral